ACUCAAAGGAAUAGACGGGGACCCGCACAAGCGGUGGAGCAUGUGGUUUAAUUCGAAGCAACGCGAAGAACCUUACCUGGGCUUGACAUCCCUCUGACCGCACCUUAAUCGGUGCUUCCCUUCGGGGCGGAGGUGACAGGUGGUGCAUGGUUGUCGUCAGCUCGUGUCGUGAGAUGUUGGGUUAAGUCCCGCAACGAGCGCAACCCUUAUCCUUAGUAGCCAGCAUUAAGUUGGGCACUCUAGGGAGACUGCCGGGGAUAACCCGGAGGAAGGUGGGGAUGACGUCAAAUCAUCAUGCCCCUUAUGUCCAGGGCUACACACGUGCUACAAUGGCGUAAACAAAGGGACGCAACCCAGCGAUGGCAAGCAAAUCCCAAAAAUAACGUCUCAGUUCGGAUUGUAGUCUGCAACCCGACUACAUGAAGCCGGAAUCGCUAGUAAUCGUGAAUCAGCAUGUCGCGGUGAAUACGUUCCCGGGUCUUGUACACACCGCCCGU
Molecule: ribosomal RNA, 497 nt
Filed under: uncultured bacterium
Lineage: Bacteria
Description: bacterial SSU rRNA
Rfam family: Bacterial small subunit ribosomal RNA
Source: RNAcentral